This 325-nucleotide long non-coding RNA is filed under the name Oryza brachyantha (malo sina). Its description in RNAcentral is "long non-coding RNA (OBRA_LNC002491)". Lineage: Eukaryota; Viridiplantae; Streptophyta; Magnoliopsida; Poales; Poaceae. The record is from RNAcentral.
AACUACCUCGCUAGCUUUCCGAAAUCCCAAUGUGUCGGUCCGUCUGUUUACUGGAUUUUCUCGAUCCGUGUUUCUAUCUUGAUUUAUUUCCCUGAUGAAGUUUUCCAAUAAUGGCCUGAACUGAACUAGCUAGCCUGACAGGCUUGGCUACGUGUACUUCAGAUUGUGCAUAUUCCAUGCAGGGUUUGAAAUUAAUUUAGUAUGUACUUUUAUACCGGGGGAACCGAAAUUAAUUGCAAACCCUCGUUACUUCCAUGUGUUCUCCUAUUCCCCACAAUCCCGAAUUUUUUCCAGAAUUUCCUUGAGAAUCUUCAUGUGUCCUGAG